UCAAGCUAAUAAGAGCGUAGGGUGGAUGCCUUGGUACCAAGAGCCGAAGAAAGACGUGGUAAGCUGCGAAAAGCCAUGGGGAGCUGCAAACAAGCAUUGAUCCAUGGAUAUCUGAAUGGGGAAACCCGGCGGUCGUUGAGGGCCGUCAUCGUAACAUGAAUACAUAGUGUUACGAAGGGAACCCGGUGAACUGAAACAUCUAAGUAGCCGGAGGAAGAGAAAGAAACAUCGAUUCCCAAAGUAGCGGCGAGCGAAAUGGGAAGAGCCUAAACCGAAUCUCUACGGAGAGUCGGGGUUACGGACCUGCGGAAUCGAGAUUACUCAUAGUCGAAUAGUAUUGGAAAGUGCAGCCGGAGAGGGUAAAAGCCCCGUAGGCGAAAUGAGGAAUCGAGAGGCGGGUAUCCAGAGUACCACAGGACACGAGGAAUCCGGUGGGAAGUCGGGGGGACCACCCCCCAAGGCUAAAUACUACUUGGUGACCGAUAGCGUAUAGUACCGUGAGGGAAAGGUGAAAAGAACCCCGGGAGGGGAGUGAAAGAGAACCUGAAACCCUAUGUUUACAAGCAGUGGGAGCGAAAGCGACCAUGUACUUUUUGUAGAACGGGCCGGCGAGUUACUGUGUGUAGCGAGGUUAAGGUGUAGAGCACCGGAGCCGUAGCGAGAGCGAGUCUCAAAUGGGCGAAUAGUUGCAUACAGUAGACCCGAAACCGGGUGACCUAUCCAUGGACAGGAUGAAGCGGUGGUAAAGCACCGUGGAGGUCCGAACCACACGUAUGUUGAAAAAUGCGGGGAUGAGCUGUGGAUAGCGGAGAAAUUCCAAUCGAACUCGGAGAUAGCUGGUUCUCCCCGAAAUAGCUUUAGGGCUAGCCUCGAUUUAGAUUAUUGGGGGUAGAGCACUGAAUGGGCUAGGGGGCCACAAAGCUUACUGAACCCUAUCAAACUGCGAAUACCAAUUAAUUGAUGAUCGGGAGUCAGACAGUGAGAGAUAAGUUCCAUUGUCGAAAGGGAAACAGCCCAGAUCCACGACUAAGGUCCCAAAAUACACGUUAAGUGGAAAAGGAUGUGCAGUUGCACAGACAACCAGGAUGUUGGCUUAGAAGCAGCCACUCAUUCAAAGAGUGCGUAAUAGCUCACUGGUCGAGUGAAUGUGCGCCGAAAAUAUACCGGGGCUAAACGUGAUACCGAAGUCUGGGGAUCAAGAAAUUGAUCGGUAGGGGAGCAACGCAUACGGACAGAAGCAGAAGCGGGAGCGACUGUGGACUGUAUGGGAGAGAGAAUGCCGGCAUGAGUAGCGAGAGCAAAGUGAGAAUCUUUGCCGUCGAAAGCCUAAGGUUUCCUGAGGAAGGCUCGUCCUCUCAGGGUAAGUCGGGACCUAAGCCGAGGACAAGAGUCGUAGGCGAUGGAUAACAGGUUGAUAUUCCUGUACCGUACUUAAGCGUUUGACUGAAGCAGUGACACAGAAGGAUAGACAGACCGAGUGAAUGGAAGAACUCGGCCAAGCAGUGAGGCUGACAUGUAGUGAAGUACGCAUGUUAAGGCUGGGCUGUGAUGGGGACUGAAGAUUAGUAAGGAAGCUGUUGAAUUCACACUGGCGAGAAAAGCUGCUAAGGAGCGAGAGUAUGCCCGUACCGCAAACCGACACAGGUAGGCGAGGAGAGAAUCCUAAGACGAGCGGGAGAACCCUUGUUAAGGAACUCGGCAAAAUGACUCCGUAACUUAGGGAGAAGGAGUGCCUCGAGAGAGGCCGCAGAGAAUAGGCCCAAGCGACUGUUUACCAAAAACACAGGUCUGUGCGAAGUAGAGAUACGACGUAUACGGGCUGACGCCUGCCCAGUGCCGGAAGGUUAAGGGGAAGUGUUAGGGCAACCGAAGCACGGAACUUAAGCCCCGGUGAACGGCGGCCGUAACUAUAACGGUCCUAAGGUAGCGAAAUUCCUUGUCGGGUAAGUUCCGACCCGC
RNAcentral lists this ribosomal RNA (1959 nucleotides) under human gut metagenome. Its description in RNAcentral is "bacterial LSU rRNA". It matches the Rfam family "Bacterial large subunit ribosomal RNA", at positions 3 to 1991 of the family's 2925-position model. The record is from RNAcentral.